AACUAGUGGACUUAAUAGCAACCACCAACACGUGUUUAUUUAUUCCAGAUAAGUAUUGCUCCAGAUGUUGACCACAGCAAGCGAUGGAAGACCAGGACCGUUCUAGACUGCAAGAGUCCUGUUUUCAACGAGACUUUUAUGUUAAAUGUGGAUGAAGACGAUCAGAAGAAGAGGCUGUUGUUAACCGUGUGGAAUCGCAGUCGAACUUCCAGGCGCAGUGACUUCCUGGGCUGUAUGAGUUUUGGUGUCCACUCCC
RNAcentral lists this long non-coding RNA (256 nucleotides) under Sinocyclocheilus grahami. RNAcentral describes it as "lncRNA (ENSSGRG00000010371.1)". The record is from RNAcentral. Lineage: Eukaryota; Metazoa; Chordata; Actinopteri; Cypriniformes; Cyprinidae.